RNAcentral lists this small nucleolar RNA (104 nucleotides) under Mesitornis unicolor (brown roatelo). RNAcentral describes it as "Small nucleolar RNA SNORD46". It matches the Rfam family "Small nucleolar RNA SNORD46". Rfam says of the family: U40 is a C/D box small nucleolar RNA, also known as snoZ153 in plants. The human sequence has also been annotated in the sequence databases as U46. The record is from Rfam by way of RNAcentral. Lineage: Eukaryota; Metazoa; Chordata; Aves; Mesitornithiformes; Mesitornithidae.
AAUUGGAGUGAUGAAACUUAAACCUUAGGUAGAUGCACCAGACCGUUUUGGUCUCUUCCUGUGUCUGCCAAUGCUGGGGUUUGUCAUAGUUACACUGACCACGU